Molecule: long non-coding RNA, 255 nt
Filed under: Citrus maxima (pomelo)
Lineage: Eukaryota; Viridiplantae; Streptophyta; Magnoliopsida; Sapindales; Rutaceae
Description: long non-coding RNA (CMAX_LNC000825)
Source: RNAcentral
CCCAUUUGAGCUUUUCUCUCAAUGUCUUCUUCACUAGAUUGAAAAUCAAGGUCUGUACGUAUCCUCCUUUUGAUCACCAUUAGCUUCCUCUUUUCUAUUCAAACCGAUCCAUUUUCAUGCCCCGUCUUUAAUUAUUUGCUGCAGAGAUAUAUGGCAAGAGUAGUAGGUGGUGUUAUCGUUUGUGUGAUGAUAGUUGCCAUUGAUGUUGUUGCUGGCGUUCUGAGUAUCAAAGCAGGAUUAAUUGCUCAAAACAAG